Molecule: long non-coding RNA, 778 nt
Filed under: Ananas comosus (pineapple)
Lineage: Eukaryota; Viridiplantae; Streptophyta; Magnoliopsida; Poales; Bromeliaceae
Description: long non-coding RNA (ACOM_LNC006547)
Source: RNAcentral
CAACCAAUAAUACCAGCUACUUAUCGAUCAUCUUUAAAGCAAAUGACAAAGAGUUUGGUGAUUGGUAUUCGAAAUUUCAAGUUCGAAUUCUAAUUGAUUUAUAUUUUCAGCUAAGUUUAUUUCUAAAUGAAAUAAAUAAAACAAACAACGUGCUGUCUAUCUCUAAAAAUAAUAAUAAUAAUAAUACGAGCUACUUUUAUUCCCAUGGAGAGCUAAAAGAAGCUGAUUUAGUAAACAUUUACAUCAUUAUGUAGAUAAAAAGAUAAACGACUAGAUUUUGAGUGAGAACUAAAAUCUAUAUCCCAUCAUAUAAUGUAAAACUACUUUUUUUUUUGAGAGAUAGAUAUCACAUUAUUCGUUUCGUUUAUUUUAUUUAGAAAUAAACUUAGUUGGAAAUAUGAAUCAACUAGGAUUUGAAUUUGAAAUCUCGGGUACUAACUAUUUUUUUUUGUUGAGAGAGAUGGGUAUCAAGUACUAUUUUUUUUUGUGAGAGAUAGGUAGCACGCUACAUGCUACGUUUAUUUUAUUUAGAAAUAAACUUAGCUGAAAAUGUGAAUUAAGUAGGAUUCGAACUUGGGUCUCGGAUACCAACCACCAAACCCUUUAUCACUUGCUAUAGUACCAACUACUGUUGUUCUCAAAAGAAUCGUGUAUUCAUGACAUUUUGAUAAGUUCAAGAUGAAAACUAGUGCGAUUCAAAUUCCACACCUCUUACUUUGAUGUAAGGUUAAAUAAUAUGAUAAAAUAAUUAUUAUUCUCUAAAAAUUUAUGUAUUUAU